Molecule: ribosomal RNA, 213 nt
Filed under: uncultured bacterium
Lineage: Bacteria
Description: partial 16S ribosomal RNA
Rfam family: Bacterial small subunit ribosomal RNA
Source: RNAcentral
UACGAAGGGGGCUAGCGUUGUUCGGAAUUACUGGGCGUAAAGCGCGCGUAGGCGGUUUUCCAAGUCGGGCGUGAAAGCCCCGGGCUCAACCCGGGAAAUGCGCUCGAAACUUGAAGACUGGAGGCCGGAAGAGGGUAGUGGAAUUCCCAGUGUAGAGGUGAAAUUCGUAGAUAUUGGGAAGAACACCAGUGGCGAAGGCGGCUACCAUGGUAC